This 948-nucleotide unclassified non-coding RNA is filed under the name Melitaea cinxia (Glanville fritillary). Its description in RNAcentral is "misc RNA ENSMCXG00005011311.1". The record is from RNAcentral. Lineage: Eukaryota; Metazoa; Arthropoda; Insecta; Lepidoptera; Nymphalidae.
UGGUUGUCAGUUUUAUUUUUAUUUUUUUUUUUAUUUUUUGUAUUUCUUGGUGUGAAGCGGCUUGUCCGACUUGUAUGUGGUUCUGCCGUAGACAGAGUAAACUAUAGACUGCGUGAUAAUUCCUUUUCGUUCCCACUAAACAGAAAUACAAAUAGGGACAACGUAUUAGGAAAAAAGAGAUAGAGCAUAACUAUUUGCAUCUCUCAUUGCGUGCCGGUUUUCUCAAGGCCAGCACAAACAUUUUGCUAAACAAGUUUGACCUUCGAGACAUUGUGCUGUAAAAUUUUCAAUUAUUUAGCUAAGUUUAAAUAUAAACAGACUUGAUUUUGUUCAAUUAAAGAAGAUAAAGGCAAAUUCUAAUUGUUUACAAUGGUUCGGUGUAGUGUUCUUGGCUGUAAAAGCGAUAGUGAACGGAAAAUUGCAGGAUUGUCUUUUCAUUCGUAACUGCCACAGGACGAAAUUGUUGGUGAAAGCAGUCGCCGUGCAUUACUUUGAAGUACGCAUACAUCAUACUACAAAACAGUUUUUUUCACCCAGCGAUAGAAUUUGCAACAUACACAAUAAGCUUGUACUGUUUAGAGGGCAAUAAAUUCACUAUUCACUAAUUUGUGUUGUUUUAUUUCCUUCUCCUUUUUUUCUUAGUUACUAGCUGUUGCUCGCAGCUACGUCUGGCAACAAUUCAACUUAGAUUAACAACCGAAUCUUGGUUGAUGACUGAUGAGGCUAUUUCUAUAGCCUAGGUCACUCAGUAUUAACUUAGCAUUUUAAUGAUAUAGUUUUUAAAAUCAGUCGAUAGUUUUUGAGUUAUUUCGACCACGAAAUUGGUUCGAGGUACCAACCUCACAGAGCUAAUAGUGACCGGCUUGUACGUUAUAUAUGUGUGCGUGGUACUUGUUUGAAACUAUGAUAUCUCCUAAGAUAUCCGUUAAAAUCAAGCAAUGUCAAGGG